UGUGUGGGUGCUGGUCUGCACAGGAGCCCUGGGCUUGGGGGUGAGAAAAGGCAGAUCUUGCCAAGCAAUGCACCUGGUGCUGGGAACUGCUUCUCGGCCUGAAGCGAGUGCUGCCUUUCCCAAAUUUCCCUUACAGGGGGUGCCUUUUACCUACCUCACCCAAGGUCUCCCUAUGUGCUAAUCUCUAUUUCAGAGAGAGGGAGAAAGACAUUAUGGAAUCUCCUCUGUUAAGCGCUGCCUGCAGCAUUUCGAAGUUAGGUAAUAUGGCCAUUUCACAGAGGGGAAAACUGAGGCUCAGAGAAAUUAAGAGACUCACUCACGUUCACCCAGCUAAGAAGUGGAAGAGCAGGCCUCCUGACUCAGAUCUAUGUGUCCAUCCCAAUGCCCAGGGUCCCCAAGGUUCUCCUGAGUCCAAGGACACCGCUGCCUCCCAGCUCAUAACAAACGAUGCUCACAAGCAUGCCAGCCCUCUCCUUCUAUGAGGCAAUCCUCGGAGGCCCUUGCCAAGAUCAACUGUUUGGACUUCUGCCUUGAAAACUGAUCCUCUUCCGAGUCCGGUUAUUGCUUUUCUGAAACAUGGGGACAGUGACAUCAUCGCUCCCUCCCUGGCUUGGGGAUUUGGUGGUCAGCAUGAAGUCAGGGUUUGGAACGGUGCCUGUUCUCUGCCAAUGCCCAGGGAGGCCUGGGUUGGGGGCUCUGGAGUGAAUUGGGCUUGCUGGGGAAGUCCCCAGAGGCUGGGUGGGGGGUCACUUUCAAACCUGUUGCCAGCAUCUGGGUCUGCCUUGCAGUCCCCAGGAUGAGCAGCAUUCUGAGGAGGGCUGAACUGAUGGUCGGUGGAUACACACCUGCCCGGUCAUACCCAUUGUCAGGCUAUUGAAAUACUUUCAUCUCAUUGGUAGUCAUUUACCGGGAAGACUUCCUGCCACCUUAGCUGUACUGGCUUCUCCCCUGGGCCACCUCUCCAUAACUCCUACCAUCUAACACCUGUAGGGACCUGUCCAACAGUACUCUGAUUGUUGGUGCCCUGCACCACACCCAUGGAUAAAGAUUUCGGCGAUGACUCCAGGAUCGGAGUGGAGCUGUGAGAACUUGGGCUGGGCCUUUGGUCGCUGGGCACCUGCUGGAAGGCACUGCCAUGUGGAAAGAGGCAAGGUCCACAUCUAAAGUUCCCAGGUCUGGGCCCUGCCAACAGGAAUUCUCUCCUGCCACGGUGGGACCCAUUCCUUGCACAGUCACCGGUUAGCAUUUCCUUGCCAGAGGCUGAAAGGCAUCUCAGGGGUAUUCUAGUCCUGCCCGCUAAUUGUACAAGGAGACUCUGCAGCUCAGAAAGAGGAUGUCACUUGCUCAAGUCAAAUAAGCUGGUGACUGACCUAAGCCUUCUGCCUACCCUCUAGGUCAUGAUUCUCAAGGCACACAAAGAUCCUGGCUUCAGAGACCAUGAAGACAUUCUAAACCUUCUCCUAUCACUUGCCCGCUGCCUUUCUAUGCCCAGGGUUGGUUUAUUGGCAUACCCAGCACUUUCUCUAGUUGGGUGGAUUUUAGAAUUAGCUUCAGCAGGGAGCCCGUCACAGUCAUGUCACUCCAUAACCUGGCAUGCACCUAGGUAGGAACCUCAGUCUGGCAGCCCACAGGCUGAAUGUGGACGGAUUUCACUGGGACCACCCAGUGUUGUUGAUUUUUCUUUCUAAUGGAAUAGAUUGCCCACACUUAGAAAGUGAGGGAUUUCAUACAAAACUGUGGAUAUGGGGCUUUUUGGAACAAUGGUUAGAUCCAGCCAUCCAUGUGCCACGUUUCUGCAGGCAAGACCAGCUCCCUAUAAAUGGGACAGAUGCUCUAGUUUGUCACCAACCACCCCUUUCUCCCAGCUGGCUUUGGUCCUUUGCUGGCCUGAAGGCACCCAAGUUUGCCAUCCCCAGCCCAGAGUUAUCUCAGUACAUGACACGGCCUUGCUUUUUGUUUCUUGGAAAAGUUGUGGUCCAGACGGAAUAAAUAGACCACUUUAGCAUCCUUCUUCUUUCUUCACACAUUCAGGCCAUUUUGGAUAAGGGAGAUGUUUGGGGUCUCAGGCUUAUCACAGGGACAGUCAUUGGUUGACCACCUGGCUGUGACUUCCAAGACUCCUUCCUUCUGCUCUUCCCACCUCUUCCCCUGACAGUGCCAUGAUCUCCAACCAGGCUACCCAACUCCUGACAUUCCAUGGCUGAGCUUUGGACUGAGUUGUGCAGAUGCUUACUGAGCACCUGCAAUGUUGACGCCAUGUGAGGAUUCAAGCAAGAGCAAGACACAUUUUUGGAUGCUUAGUCUUAAGGAUCUAAGUCUUCUUGUGCACAACAGAUAAAGAUAUCGAUAACCGUAUAUUGAAGACCAUUACUGGAAGUGAGGGGAGAUGAGGAGGAAGAGGCCCUGGAAGGACAUCUGGGACUGGUGGGAACAGCAGCUGGAUUACCUGCUCCUGCCUGGGGAUUUCUCUACAUUCCCAAGCUGGUGCUGACAAAGUGCAGCCCCAAAGAGGCUGGGCCAGAGAGAUUGGAAGAAGAGCUCUCAGGGGACUCCCACAAUUCCUCUGACAAUAAAAUGAGACAGAGAGGUUAAAAGUCAUUUAAAUUUGGCCGGGCGUGGUGGCUCAUGCCUAUAAUCCCAGCUACUCCGGAGGCUGAGGCAGGAGAACUGCUUGAACCUAGGAGGCAGAGGUUGCAGUGAGCUGAGAUCAUGCCAUCGCACUCCAGCCUGGGGCACAAGAGCGAGACUUCGUCUAAAAAAAAAAAAAACCUCACUCAAAUCUUUAGUUACAAGCUGGAAGAUGCCGGGCUGUUCCCCCUGUAAGCUGUGCUGGCCGCUGGUCAUGCUUCCUGUGGUGUGCUUUCAAUUUCCCUCGUUGUAACUGAAAAGUGGGGGCCUUUUCUCUGAAGGAAGAGGCUGUGGUCUCCCAGGUGCCCUGUUGGGCUCUUUAGGGAGGGACUUAGACCCAGGAGGGCUCCUAGACCUGGGCAGGUAGAAUUGCUCCGCCUGAUAGAAAGAGAACCUGGAGCUCUCCAGGCAAGCUGGGCAGGUUUAUGAGCUCGGAGCCUGAGAGGUGAAAGGUGAAGCUCCUCCCCUUCUGCUCUGACCCUGUCGUGUGUGCUCCCCAAAUAUUUGGUGAAAUCCAUCCCACUCAGAAAUCGCUUUGGAUUUGAGCGUGGGAUCUGGGUCAGUGAUAGCAACAGAGCAGCCCUCGAGGUAGGAACAGAGGCUUCCCCAUCCUCUAGGAAUUUGCAUAAAUAUACUAGGAGAUUGUGAAAUGAAUGAAAGUCCAAGAAAAUCACAUCUAGAUCUGUGAGGCAAGGAGAGAGGCCCAGAUGCCAUCUGGGUAACAUAUGGGAAAGUGUUUGCAAACUUUAACCACUACGUAAUGCAAAGAAUCAUUUGCUAUCCUUGUUAUAUACAAAAAUCUUCAUCAAAAUGUUUGCAUUGAGCAGUUGAACCUAAUGAUGAAAGAGGCUUGCAAGAGCAGGCUGGCCGGGUCAGCCCUGGGACAGCCAGCCCAGGCUUUCUCAGGCAGGCGGCACGGUGUGGACGAGAGGUUGGUGGGCAGGGAUUGGCUUCCUGGGUCCAAACACCUCCUUUUUCUCUUACUAUCUUUCUUGUCUUUCACAGGUUUAUUUAAACGCUUUAUAAACUUUUUUCUUUGUAUUUUGCCAGAGCCAUCCCCUGGGAGCCUCUUUGCAAUCUUCCUUCUCGUCCAGCUCCCAGUAUAAGUCACCUCCUUCAAAGCUCUUUGAAUCCUGAUGGUGCCCUUGACUGGGAGAGGCCACAUAGUGGGGUGGUUAAGAGCAUGUACCCUGGAGGGGAACAGAGCUGGAUGAUCAGGGCCAGGACUAGGGUAAGGAGGGUGAGACCUGAAAAUUAAAUAAAAAUGAAAAUGAAAUGAGAUGAAAAUUAAAUAAAAA
Homo sapiens (human) is the source of this 3926-nucleotide long non-coding RNA. RefSeq lists it as uncharacterized. The record is from RefSeq and is a predicted model, not a curated record. Lineage: Eukaryota; Metazoa; Chordata; Mammalia; Primates; Hominidae. The transcript has 3 exons.